GCUUAAGCAUAAACAAAGAUUAUAUCCGCCAGAAGAUUACGAGCGAAAGCCUAAAACUCAAAAGACUUGACGGUGUCCCACCUACCUAGAGGAGCCUGUUCCAUAAUCGACAACCCACGAUAAACCUAACCACCCCUAGACUUAGCCCAGCCUAUAUACCGCCGUCGCCAGCCUACCUUUUAAAAGUAAGAAAGUAGGCCAAAUAGUUACACACUAAUAAGUCAGGUCAAGGUGUAGCUUAUGGGGUGGAGGAAAUGGGCUACAUUUUUUAACUUAAACUAAACGAACCUAAUCCUGAAAAAGACAGUAAAGGCGGAUUUAGUAGUAAUUUAAACAAGAAUAUUUAAAUUAACACCUGCCCUGGGACAUGUACACA
Molecule: ribosomal RNA, 376 nt
Filed under: Riama unicolor
Lineage: Eukaryota; Metazoa; Chordata; Lepidosauria; Squamata; Gymnophthalmidae
Description: partial 12S ribosomal RNA
Rfam family: Bacterial small subunit ribosomal RNA
Source: RNAcentral